UUACUUCCCUCAAUAACGAUAUAAAAACCUUUUAGAUUCAUUUUCGAUAAUGUCGAUAUAGAAUAAUUAGGUACAGCAGUCCAUAUCACCUCUGUGACCCAGCAGGAACGUGCGGAGAAGUGACAAUAUGCACGUGGAGAGGUAUACGCCCACUAAAAACCACUUAGCACCUCGAGUGAUGGAGUCGCCAAUAUUAACCACGAACAAUGAGUGAUGUAGGUGAAAACAGUGGUAGUGAUGUAGGCUAAAACAGUGGUAGUGAUGUAGGUGAAAACAGUGGCAGUGAUGUAGGUGAAAACAGUGGUAGUGAUGUAGGUGAAAACAGUGGUAGUGAUGUAGGUGAAAACAGUGGCAGUGAUGUAGAUGAAAACAGUGGUAGUGAUGUAGGUGAAAACAGUGGUAGUGAUGUAGGUGAAAACAGUGGCAGUGAUGUAGGUGAAAACAGUGGUAGUGAUGUAGGUGAAACCAGUGGCAGUGAUGUAGGUGAAAACAGUGGUAGUGAUGUAGGUGAAAACAGUGGUAGUGAUGUAGGUGAAACCAGUGGCAGUGAUGUAGGUGAAAACAGUGGUAGUGAUGUAGGUGAAAACAGUGGUAGUGAUGUAGGUGAAACCAGUGGCAGUGAUGUAGGUGAAAACAGUAGCAGUGAUGUAGGUGAAACCAGUGGCAGUGAUGUAGGUGAAAACAGUAGCAGUGAUGUAGGUGAAAACAGUGGUAGUGAUGUAGGUGAAAACAGUGGUAGUGAUGUAGGUGAAAACAGUGGUAGUGAUGUAGGUGAAAACAGUGGUAGUGAUGUAGGUGAAAACAGUGGUAGUGAUGUAGGUGAAACCAGUGGCAGUGAUGUAGGUGAAAACAGUAGCAGUGAUGUAGGUGAAAACAGUGGUAGUGAUGUAGGUGAAAACAGUGGUAGUGAUGUAGAUGAAAACAGUGGUAGUGAUGUAGGUGAAAACAGUGGUAGUGAUGUAGGUGAAAACAGUGGUAGUGAUGUAGGUGAAAACAGUGGUAGUGAUGUAGGUGAAAACAGUGGUAGUGAUGUAGAUGAAAACAGUGGUAGUGAUGUAGGUGAAAACAGUGGUAGUGAUGUAGGUGAAAACAGUGGCAGUGAUGUAGGUGAAAACAGUGGUAGUGAUGUAGGUGAAAACAGUGGUAGUGAUGUAGGUGAAAACAGUGGUAGUGAUGUAGGUGAAAACAGUGGCAGUGAUGUAGGUGAAAACAGUGGUAGUGAUGUAGGUGAAAACAGUGGCAGUGAUGUAGGUGAAAACAGUGGUAGUGAUGUAGGUGAAAACAGUGGUAGUGAUGUAGGUGAAAACAGUGGCAGUGAUGUAGGUGAAAACAGUGGUAGUGAUGUAGGUGAAAACAGUGGCAGUGAUGUAGGUGAAAACAGUGGUAGUGAUGUAGGUGAAAACAGUGGUAGUGAUGUAGGUGAAAACAGUGGUAGUGAUGUAGGUGAAAACAGUGGUAGUGAUGUAGAUGAAAACAGUGGUAGUGAUGUUGGUGAAAACAGUGGCAGUGAUGUAGGUGAAAACAGUGGUAGUGAUGUAGAUGAAAACAGUGGUAGUGAUGUAGGUGAAAACAGUGGUAGUGAUGUAGGUGAAAACAGUGGUAGUGAUGUAGGUGAAAACAGUAGUAGUGAUGUAGAUGAAAACAGUGGUAGUGAUGUAGAUGAAAACAGUGGUAGUGAUAGCCAUAGAGAAGGAGCAGCUUCCAACAAAGAAAUGAUUGAUGAAAAGGGUUCAACUGAAGCUAUAGCAGAGGGGCUCAUUGACGCUCUCGCCUCCUGGGGACUCAGUCAAAGCAGACAGGUCUGUAUAACAAAGGAUAGUGGUGUGAACGUGGUGAAGGCUGCUCAAAUCAACAAAUGGACCCGACUACAAUGUUUUGGACAGUGUCUGCACUUGGCCAUUGGUAAGUAACCUAGUCAAUUGUGUAUAUUGAAGUGAUUGGUUAGAGUGAACUAAAUGUGAUUUUUUUCCUCCCAUCAACUGAUUAAGUUAGAUAUUAUAUUUGUACAUAACUAAAGGCAUUAUUGUGAUUUUUUAAAUGUAUUAAUAUCUCUUGAUUUCUCUUAGAGAGAGUGGGUAGAGACAAAUGGGUGGAUUGAGCAUUUGGAGUAUGUAAGAAAGUGGUAGGUGCCUUUUCCUAUUGGUGGAAAAAGAAGAGAGACCUGGCAGUUGCUCAAAAAGAACACAACCUACCCCAGAACAAGUUGGUGACAGAGUCGCCUACCAGGUGGGGAUCACGUAAAAAGAUGGUGCAAAGAGUCCUGGAGUAAGAGAAAGACAUUUCACAGCUCUUGUCCAGUGACAAGAAGACCUGGCACUGGUCACUUAUACAGAUAUAGAUAUAGAUGUUCUUGAGUCCAUCAACCAGGCAUUGACCCCACUCCUAGAAUUCACAGAUGCUCUGUCGGGUGAGUCUUAUGUCAGUGUGUCUUACCUAAAGCCAGUACUACACCUGUUCAAUAAAGAGGUCAUGAAACCUGAUGAUGGUGAAACAGAGCUCACCCAAACCAUCAAAACGAUAGUCAUAGACUAUCUGAAUGAGAAAUAUGAUGAUCUAGCCCAAGAUGACCUCCUGGACAUGGCCUCAAUGGUCGACCCUCGGUUUAAAACACAUUACAUCAAAGAGGAGAAGGUGGGCCACAUAAAAGCAAGAGCUGUCUCAGAAAUGGUCAAUGAGGGACAUGAAAACCCAAGCCCAGCACAGGGAGACGUUGCUGCUGCUUCACCACAACUGACAGUUAAAAAGAGAAAGUCACUGGGCAGAUUUUUCAAAAAUCCCUUCAGCCUCCUGAUGCUGACAGUGAAACCAAUCCACUGGACUGGUGGAAGAUCCACCCAAAGAACUUUCCCAAAGUCAGUCACAUGGCAAAGCGCUACCUGUGCAUUCCCGCCCACCCCAACAUAGUGACCUACCAUAGGGCAGUUUUAAAGCCUGAGACCGUAGACAGACUUGUCUUUCUUGCUUGUAACUUGUAAGACAACAACUACCCCAACAUAAACUGUGAUGUGCCAUUAGGCUCAACUACCCCAACAUAAACUGUGAUGUGCCAUUAGGCUCAACUACCCCAACAUAAACUGUGAUGUGCCAUUAGGCUCAACUACCCCAACAUAAACUGUGAUGUGCCAUUAGGCUCAACUUCCCCAACAUAAACUGUGAUGUGCCAUUAGGCUCAACUACCCCAACAUAAACUGUGAUGUGCCAUUAGGCUCAACUACCCCAACAUAAACUGUGAUGUGCCAUUAGGCUCAACUACCCCAACAUAAACUGUGAUGUGCCAUUAGGCUCAACUACCCCAACAUAAACUGUGAUGUGCCAUUAGGCUCAACUACCCCAACAUAAACUGUGAUGUGCCAUUAGGCUCAACUACCCCAACAUAAACUGUGAUGUGCCAUUAGGCUCAACUACCCCAACAUAAACUGUGAUGUGCCAUUAGGCUCAACUACCCCAACAUAAACUGUGAUGUGCCAUUAGGCUCAACUACCCCAACAUAAACUGUGAUGUGCCAUUAGGCUCAACUACCCCAACAUAAACGGUGAUGUGCCAUUAGGCUCAACUACCCCAACAUAAACUGUGAUGUGCCAUUAGGCUCAACUACCCCAACAUAAACUGUGAUGUGCCAUUAGGCUCAACUACGCCAACAUAAACGGUGAUGUGCCAUUAGGCUCAACUACUCCAACAUAAACUGUGAUGUGCCAUUAGGCUCAACUACCCCAACAUAAACUGUGAUGUGCCAUUAGGCUCAACUACCCCAACAUAAACUGUGAUGUGCCAUUAGCUAACAGUUCUAAUGCAUAUUGACUUGCUCUAUUUAUUUAUUUAUUUCUUGCUCAUGACUUGUAAGGGUUUACAGCUUAAACAAAAGUGGAGUUAAAAUGUUAUCUGUGAGUUCUACUUCUGACAUUAAACAAGAAACAUUAAAGCUUUUGGUUUGUUCAGGCAUUCUUGAGUCUGAAGCAGAUAUGCAUCUUUUUAAACAUUAUUUGAUUAAUAUCGUGAUAAUUAUCGUUAUCGAUUGGAAAAAAAAAAAUAUAUAUAUAUAUAUAUAUAUACACAGAUUGGAAUCAUUAAAACUAGUUUUUCAACCACUCACACAUUUCUUGGGAUAUUAUACAAAAGUGAAAUAAACAAAAAUGAUCAGUAAACAUUACACUCACAGAAGUUCCAAAAGAAUAAAGACAUUACAGAUAUCUCACAUAAAGGAGGAGUGGAAAUAAUGUAAAGCAACAUGUUUCUGAGUGCUCUCUGUAGGGAGAUGUUAGUGAAAGAGGUCUGGUCUCUGAUAACUCAUAAUGACACUGUUUACUGCCUACACACACACACUGCUUCCUCUCCAUCACACACCUUGUAUUAUACCUUUUAUAGAGUCACGUAGUAAUAGGCCACUCCGAGCCUAACCAGGAUAGCUGUCUGCAUGGCUUUGUGUAGGCUACAUCUAUACGUGUCUGCCCAUCUGAUUGUAUAGCUAUGGUGUUAAGGGUGAAUCCAUCCCAUGGGGAUUAUUGUUCCCUUCACUUCAUUUCCUGUACUGGUUCUGGGGAAGUUUUCAGCAUGCUGUGUAUUGACUGAUUGGCUUCUGUGUGUUUCAGACAUUAGCACAGUUGGUAGAGCAUGGCGCUUGUAACGCCAGGGUAGUGGGUUCGAUUCCCGGGACCACCCAUACGUAGAAUGUAUGCACACAUGACUGUAAGUCGCUUUGGAUAAAAGCGUCUGCUAAAUGGCAUAUAUACACACACUUUCAAAACACAUUUGUGUUUGAGUGUGUCUAUCUGUAAGUAAGUAUAUACUGUAGGUCUAAAACUAACUAGGCCACUAUGUGUGCCUAUGUAUUUAAACUAUGUGCUGACUGAGUGUGUGAGGGUUGAUGGCUAACUCUGCAGGGAGAGAUGGAGAGAGGGAAAAUGAGGGAGACAGAGCUUGUGAAAGCGAUGGAUAGCAAGAAAGAGGGAGGAGAGUGUGGAAGGUAGGAAAUGAGGAGGGAUGGUGGUGGGGUUGUUCUCUGUUUCACAGGGAGAUGCAGUUCAGUGGAAAUAUGAGAGUGAGAGAGAGCUGUAAAAGUCUGCUUUCUGGAAACACUUCAGUCUGGGGUAGCUGAGGUCGGGAUUGACCCUGGGGGGAUUUGCCCUAGGCCAUGUUAUCAUCAGUGUUGCAUCACAUGACCAUUGUAUCGCCCAUAAUGCCUGCCCUGCAAAAAAACACACAGACACACCCGUCCCCACACCCCAAUAUGUGUCUCAGUUUGAGCCUUAAUCUGUCUGUCAUGCCCAUACCAAGCCACCCUCAGGUAACAUCCAAUAUGUUAAUGUUGUUGUAGAGUAACAGGAGCUGUCUCUCAUUAGAUGUGUAGUGUAGUAUGAGGUGGUCGUAAUGUGAUGCUAGAUUCACUGUAGGUGAUUUGUCUUUAUAAAUACAAACCACAGGAGGUUGGUGGCACCUUAAUUGGGGAGAAUGGGCUUGUGUUAAUGACUGGAUCAGAAUCAGUGGAAUGGUAUCAAAUACAUCAAACUCCGUUUCCAGGUGUUUGAUGCCUUUCCAUUCGCUCCGUUCCAGACAUUAUUAUGAGUCAUCCUCCCCUCAGCAGCCUCCUGUGAUACACAGAUAUUACACACAUAUAAGCACACACGCACACUCACACACAUUGUGAUGUUAUUUUCAGGCCUCAGUCCUCAUUAUUUCCAUUCAGCGCUACUAGUGCUAGCAGGCCUUUGAGUCACACUGAAUCUGUUUUGCUUGAACGGAAGAUCAACUAUGAGUAGCAUUUUGAUUCUGAGUGUUGCUGUUUUUAACUGAACUUCCUUCCAUUGUGGUGUCUGUGACGUCAUACAGGCUUCCUUAUAGACGUGAGCGUUUUAGGACAUCACAGUUGAAUUCACUAAAUCACCGUGGAACAAUGGGCAGCAGUGGAGCGGAGCUAAUCUGAACAGUGAACAUAGUAGCUAACUGAUAUCACUGUUAUUCGCUGUUGUGAGACCGUAGCCAAGAAUACAGGAAGUCUUGUGCUAACCUGUAGCCCUGUACAGUUUAGCACAGUCCCCCUCCAAGGCUAUUCUCUCCCUGUUGGUAAACUGGGUUGUAUGGAGGUACUGAGCUUGGGAGAGAGACACCUAGUGGCACUAGUAUACAUCUGCAGGUGAUAUCUGUCUCUUCUUCCUAUUUCUUUCUCUCUCUCCCUCU
This is a long non-coding RNA of Oncorhynchus keta (chum salmon), 6171 nucleotides long. RefSeq lists it as uncharacterized. The record is from RefSeq and is a predicted model, not a curated record. The transcript is spliced from 3 exons. Lineage: Eukaryota; Metazoa; Chordata; Actinopteri; Salmoniformes; Salmonidae.